CCCUGGAGUAACUUCCCUUCCAGAGUGUUAACUCACAUAUGCUUUUUCCGGACCCUAUGUAGUUAGGAGUUUUGUAUUUGUUGAAGCUAGUAGUCUCUAGCGGCCGUACCUGUUCAGUUAUCUUAUAAGUUCCGGACUUAGAUACAGGGAAAUAACUCUGCAAAGUUAAACUCGUAUAAUAACCACUGAACCUCAGUUAAGGCCCUAACCGGACAAGGAUUAGGGAAAAAGGCUUACUCGAUGGCUCGCGUUUAGCGAUCCUAGAGACGACAGUCAUAGACUCUGAGACAAUAAGGCAGUGGCUUUCCCAGUAAGCUUUAAGGCAGUCUUGGGAAAGGAACAGGAGGGGCCAGGGGGACCUUCUGUUCAAAGCGGUACUCGAUAGGGUGGUUCCGUACGAAAGGGAAAUUGGGAUCUCUGACAUCUUGAAUUUUCACCUUUAGGGGGGUAAUUUCAAUGACAGUAAGAGUCCCCUUUCGGGGGAAAUCCAGGAGAGGCUUAUCGCCCUCGUAUGCGUUUCUGUUGUUGUUUCUGUAUGUGUUAAGUCGGCUCGUAGAGGCGGCUUAGCUGCU
This 572-nucleotide long non-coding RNA is filed under the name Panax ginseng (ginseng). RNAcentral describes it as "long non-coding RNA (PGIN_LNC004857)". Lineage: Eukaryota; Viridiplantae; Streptophyta; Magnoliopsida; Apiales; Araliaceae. The record is from RNAcentral.